AACGCGAAGAACCUUACCUGGGCUCGAACGGCUUAAGAUCGACUGUAGAAAUAUGGUUUUCCCGCAAGGGACUUGAGUCGAGGUGCUGCAUGGCUGUCGUCAGCUCGUGUCGUGAGAUGUUGGGUUAAGUCCCGCAACGAGCGCAACCCUUGUCCUGUGUUGCUAAUCCGCAAGGAUGCACUCUCAGGAGACCGCCAGCGAUAAGUUGGAGGAAGGUGGGGAUGACGUCAAGUCAUCAUGGCCUUUAUGUCCAGGGCUACACACGUGCUACAAUGGACGGUACAAAGCGCGGCAAACCGGCGACGGGGAGGCUAAUCGCAGAAAACCGUUCUCAGUUCGGAUUGCAGGCUGCAACUCGCCUGCAUGAAGCUGGAAUCGCUAGUAAUGGCAUAUCAGAACGAUGCCGUGAAUACGUUCCCGGGCCUUGUACACACCGCUAGUC
This 442-nucleotide ribosomal RNA is filed under the name uncultured bacterium. RNAcentral describes it as "bacterial SSU rRNA". It matches the Rfam family "Bacterial small subunit ribosomal RNA", at positions 958 to 1398 of the family's 1533-position model. The record is from RNAcentral.